GACGUCAAAUCAUCAUGCCCCUUAUGUCCUGGGCUACACACGUGCUACAAUGGAUGGUACAACGAGUUGCGAACUCGCGAGAGUAAGUUAAUUUUUUAAAGCCAUUCUCUGUUGGGAUCGUAGGUUGCAACUGGCGUACAUGAAGUCGGAAUGCAUAGUAAUCGGGGAUCAGCAUGGCGCGGUGAAUACGUUCCCGGGCCUUGUACACACCGCCCGUCACACCAUGAGAGUUUGUUACACCCAAAGUCGGUGGGGUAACCUUUUAGGAACCAGCCGCCUAAGGUGGGACAGAUGAUUAGGGUGAAGUCGUAACAAGGUAUCCGUAGGAGAACC
This 333-nucleotide ribosomal RNA is filed under the name Lactobacillus sp. MA. RNAcentral's name for it is "bacterial SSU rRNA". It matches the Rfam family "Bacterial small subunit ribosomal RNA", at positions 1181 to 1512 of the family's 1533-position model. Lineage: Bacteria; Bacillati; Bacillota; Bacilli; Lactobacillales; Lactobacillaceae. The record is from RNAcentral.